Molecule: ribosomal RNA, 464 nt
Filed under: uncultured bacterium
Lineage: Bacteria
Description: bacterial SSU rRNA
Rfam family: Bacterial small subunit ribosomal RNA
Source: RNAcentral
UUUCGCCAGACGAAGCGCAAGUGACGGCAUGUGUAGAAGAAGGACCGGCCAACUACGUGCCAGCAGCCGCGGUAAUACGUAGGGUCCGAGCGUUGUCCGGAAUUAUUGGGCGUAAAGGGCUCGUAGGCGGUCUGUCGCGUCGGGAGUGAAAACCAGGUGCUUAACACCUGGCCUGCUUUCGAUACGGGCAGACUAGAGGUACUCAGGGGAGAAUGGAAUUCCUGGUGUAGCGGUGAAAUGCGCAGAUAUCAAUGAGGAACACCGGUGGCGAAGGCGGUUCUCUGGGAGUAUCCUGACGCUGAGGAGCGAAAGUGUGGGGGAGCGAACAGGGAUUAAAUACCCUGGUAGUCCACACCCGUAAACGUUGGGGCGCUAGGUUGUUGGGGAUCCAUUCCCAACGGGGUUCCGUGCCGCAGCUAACGCUUUAACCGCCCCGCCUGGGGGGAGUUCCGGCCCCAGGGCUU